GAUGAACGCUGGCGGUAUGCUUAACACAUGCAAGUCGAACGGGGUGCAUAGUCACCUAGUGGCGGACGGGUGAGUAACGCGUGAGAAUCUGGCCUCAGGUCCGGGACAACCACGGGAAACGGUGGCUAAUACCGGAUGUGCCAUAUUGGUGAAAGAUUAAUUGCCUGAGGAUGAGCUCGCGUCUGAUUAGCUAGUUGGUGGGGUAAAGGCUUACCAAGGCGACGAUCAGUAACUGGUCUGAGAGGAUGACCAGUCAUACUGGGACUGAGACACGGCCCAGACUCCUACGGGAGGCAGCAGUGGGGAAUUUUCCGCAAUGGGCGAAAGCCUGACGGAGCAAUACCGCGUGAGGGAGGAAGGCUCUUGGGUUGUAAACCUCUUUUCUCAGGGAAGAAGAAUGACGGUACCUGAGGAAUCAGCAUCGGCUAACUCCGUG
RNAcentral lists this ribosomal RNA (436 nucleotides) under uncultured bacterium. Its description in RNAcentral is "partial 16S ribosomal RNA". It matches the Rfam family "Bacterial small subunit ribosomal RNA", at positions 28 to 507 of the family's 1533-position model. The record is from RNAcentral.